CUGUGCUAGAUGGGGAGUUAGCGGUGCCCUGUAACCUGCAAUCCGCUUUAGCAGGAUUGAACACCUAUUAGAGGCCUGUUAUUGUAGAGUCUGCCCUGUAUAAGUGGCAAUGAGGUUUGGGUCCUACGCAAUGGAAGCCUAUGAACUUCGUCAGAUCCGGAAGGAAGCAGCGAUAAGUGGUUCCUUUCAUGUGCCGUGGGAGUGCUUGAACUGAGUUAACUGUACAGGUAACGUUUAUAAUAGCUUGUCGACUUAGGUGCACAG
Molecule: signal recognition particle RNA, 264 nt
Filed under: Lutibacter sp. B2
Lineage: Bacteria; Pseudomonadati; Bacteroidota; Flavobacteriia; Flavobacteriales; Flavobacteriaceae
Description: signal recognition particle sRNA large type
Rfam family: Bacterial large signal recognition particle RNA
About the family: The signal recognition particle (SRP) is a universally conserved ribonucleoprotein involved in the co-translational targeting of proteins to membranes.
Source: RNAcentral